This 811-nucleotide long non-coding RNA is filed under the name Manihot esculenta (cassava). RNAcentral's name for it is "long non-coding RNA (MESC_LNC006813)". Lineage: Eukaryota; Viridiplantae; Streptophyta; Magnoliopsida; Malpighiales; Euphorbiaceae. The record is from RNAcentral.
CUCAAUAAGGUCUUGACAAAAGAAGACCUCACUGAGGUCCUAGCAAAGGAAGACCUCAAUAAGGUCUUGACAAGAGAAGACCUCAAUGAGGUCUUGACAAGAGAAGACCUCAAUAAGGUCUUGACAAAAGAAGACCUCACUAAGGUCCUAGCAAAGGAAGACCUCAAUAAGGUCUUGACAAGAGAAGACCUCACUGAGGUCUUGACAAAAGAAGACCUCACUAAGGUCCUAGCAAAGGAAGACCUCAAUAAGGUCUUGACAAGAGAAGACCUCAAUGAGGUCUUGCCAAAGGAAGACCUCAAUAAGGUCUUGACAAAAGAAGACCUCACUGAGGUCCUAGCAAAGGAAGACCUCAAUAAGGUCUUGACAAAGGAAGACCUCAAUAAGGUCUUGACAAGAGAAGACCUCAAUGAGGUCUUGACAAGAGAAGACCUCAAUAAGGUCUUGACAAAAGAAGACCUCACUGAGGUCCUAGCAAAGGAAGACCUCAAUAAGGUCUUGACAAGAGAAUACCUCAACAAGGUCUUGACAAGAGAAGACCUCAAUGAGGUCUUGACAAAGGAAGACCUCAAUAAGGUCUUGACAAAAGAAGACCUCACUGAGGUCCUAGCAAAGGAAGACCUCAAUAAGGUCUUGACAAGAGAAGACCUCAAUGAGGUCUUGACAAAGGAAGACCUCAAUAAGGUCUUGACAAAGGAAGACCUCACUGAGGUCCUAGCAAAGGAAGACCUCAAUAAGGUCUUGACAAGAGAAGACCUCAAUAAGGUCUUGACAAAAGAAGACCUCACUGAGGUCCUAGCAAAGGAAGACC